GCUUGCUUUGCAGAACAUACACCAAGGUUGGAACGAGACAGAAGAUUGCCAUGGCUCCUCCACAAGGCUGACGUGCAAAUCCAUGAAGUGUUCCAUAUUCUC
Molecule: small nuclear RNA, 102 nt
Organism: Cuculus canorus (common cuckoo)
Lineage: Eukaryota; Metazoa; Chordata; Aves; Cuculiformes; Cuculidae
Source: Rfam